CCUACGGGAGGCCGCAGUGAGGAAUAUUGGUCAAUGGGCGGAAGCCUGAACCAGCCAAGUAGCGUGCGGGAUGAAGGCCCUACGGGUUGUAAACCGCUUUUGCACGGGGAUAAAACCCUCCACUUGUGGAGGUCUGCAGGUACCGUGCGAAUAAGGGCCGGCUAAUUCCGUGCCAGCAGCCGCGGUAAUACGGAAGGCCCGAGCGUUAUCCGGAUUCAUUGGGCUUAAAGGGAGCGUAGGCGGGCGUUCAAGUCAGCUGUAAAAUCGCGCGGCUCAACCUCGCACCGCAGUUGAAACUGGACGCCUUGAGUUCACAACAGGCAGGCGGAAUGCGUGGUGUAGCGGUGAAAUGCAUAGAUAUCACGAGGAACCCCGAUUGCGAAGGCAGCCUGCCGGGGUGCGACUGACGCUGAGGCUCGAAGGUGCGGGUAUCAAACAGGAUUAGAUACCCGAGUAGUC
This 459-nucleotide ribosomal RNA is filed under the name uncultured bacterium. Its description in RNAcentral is "partial 16S ribosomal RNA". It matches the Rfam family "Bacterial small subunit ribosomal RNA", at positions 338 to 795 of the family's 1533-position model. The record is from RNAcentral.